This is a long non-coding RNA of Passer domesticus (house sparrow), 770 nucleotides long. RefSeq lists it as uncharacterized. Lineage: Eukaryota; Metazoa; Chordata; Aves; Passeriformes; Passeridae. The transcript is spliced from 4 exons. The record is from RefSeq and is a predicted model, not a curated record.
UAGGAGGAGCUGGAGAAAGAGGGCCUUGAGGAGGUACAGAAGCCCUGCGGAAAGGGAGCAAUCCAGAGAGGGAAAGAAGAGAGUUGCUGCUGCAGAAGAUCUGUGAGAUGCAUCUGCAGCUGGACCAGGAAUUCACACCUUGAUCUAACCACAAAAUGUCAAACUCUUGACUCCAACUACUGCAAGAGUAAAAUACCCAUGCACAGAGAGAAAGUGGAAGGCCAGAACACCUUGAUGCUGAAAACCCUGGUCUUCUACUUUCUGGACUGUGUAAUACAAGAAGGUAUUAAAGUUCUGUUCCUGUGUAUCUGAAAUGGCAGCAUUACUCAUGACUGACAAAUCCAUAGGACAGGAAAAGCUUGAGCUGACUAAUUGCCUGUGCCCCCUGGUUGAUCUCAGAAAUGGUGAAGUUGCUGGAGAAGUUCUAGGCCUUUUACUUAUUAUCUCGUGGUGGUAAGACUGGUAAUAUCACUCAUGACUGGUUUUGCCAAUUUUGUAGCAAUCUGGAAGAUUGGUUUUAUUGUAGUUAAACUGUUGUAAAGCAUUUGAGAACAGAGCACACAAAACUGUGAGGAUAUUAAAACUAUUAUUUUUGCAUUUGCAGCAUAUAGCUGUUUUCUGACUUGUACAGAUUUAUAGCCCAGAGUCCUCCCAUCCAUAAUUAAAAUGAGAUUUUAAAAGUAAUAUAGGUAUGCCACAGCAUUAAGAACUAAUGGAAGCUUUGUAAUGUCAAAAUGAUGGAGACUUUGUAACAAGGCAAAUGGGCAAUC